AUAGGAAAUGUGGUGUUUAGGCCGUACCUUGUCCCGACACGUCUCUCCUCAAGUCCACUUGAUUGUGGCCCCAGGCCCAGAGAGGGUGUAAGGCCCGUGGAGGCGAGAUGUUCGGUGCCUGGUGCGUCCUUAGAGUCGGGUUGUUUGGGAAUGCAGCCCUAAGCGGGUGGUAAACUCCAUCCAAGGCUAAAUACCAGCACGAGUCCGAUAGCGAAGAAGUACCGCGAGGGAAGGUUGAAAAGAACUUUGAAGAGAGAGUUCAAGAGUACGUGAAACCGCUGAGAGGCAAACUGGUGGAACUGAAAUGGCUCCGAGGAAUUCAGCCGUUCUUCACAGCUAACGACGGCUCCAUCGGUUGACGUUGGGUGCACUUUCCUCGUGGGCCCGACCACGAUCGGUGAGCUGUCUGUCUGUCGUGCAAGGUAGCGCCCUCGGCGUAUUAUAGACAGGUGCACGGAGCAGUUGGCGCACUGUAAUGCCUGCCCGGGCUCAUAUGUUGGCUGUUUCGUUGGCGAGUUCCGGCUUCACUAUCGGUAGAGUAGUUGGUCUCUGUUGGCUUUACGGUCGGCCUCUGGCGUUGGUAAAUCUGUGGUUGUGAAGUAGGUAGUCCACCUGACCCGUCUUGAAACACGGACCAAGGAGUCUAACAUGUGCGCGAGUCAUUGGGUUUACGAAACCUAAAGGCGCAGUGAAGGUGAAGAUCUGNCGCAGGUUGAGGUGGGAUGCUGGGUUACGCCCGGCCGCACUACCGGCCCGUUCUACUUGUAUCUCAAGGGAGCGGAGCAAGAGCGUACACGUUGGGA
This 803-nucleotide ribosomal RNA is filed under the name Prostheceraeus roseus. Its description in RNAcentral is "LSU rRNA". It matches the Rfam family "Eukaryotic large subunit ribosomal RNA", at positions 136 to 814 of the family's 3401-position model. The record is from RNAcentral. Lineage: Eukaryota; Metazoa; Platyhelminthes; Polycladida; Euryleptidae.